UUGGAAGUAAGUCGUAACAGGUUUCGGUAGGUGACCUGCGGAGGAUCAUUA
Molecule: ribosomal RNA, 51 nt
Filed under: Parastagonospora nodorum
Lineage: Eukaryota; Fungi; Ascomycota; Dothideomycetes; Pleosporales; Phaeosphaeriaceae
Description: partial 18S ribosomal RNA
Source: RNAcentral